CAAGAAACUUAUACAGUGAGAAGAGGAAGCCAGUGGGAGACUCAAAGGAGGGGUUUAUGUGGUAAGAAUAAUGAGUCAAGAAGUUGGUUUUAGCAGCAGCUAAAGCUGCUAAAGCUGAAUAGACUUGAGAGAUGCAAAUAUGCAGUAGUUAAGACCAGAAAACAGGAGGUUACAGUAGUGAAGACAUGGGAUGAGGGCUUGGAUGAGGAGAUUGGUUACCCUGAUGUCCUGGCCUGCUCUGUGGGCUGAUGCAAGAGAUUGGCAUUAUAUUUGCCCUCUUCCAGUCGCUGGAAUCUCUCCAGGCUUCCAUGAGUUUUCCAUGGCUCAGAUAACUCUUCAGCCAGCUCUUGAUAUCAACCCAACCACCAUCGUUGUCUAGGAUACCAUAAUGUAUGGCAGCUCUACAAAUGCUGGAUUGCUAAAAAAUGGAGCAAGAAAAUCAUUUCCACGUCAGAGCCUGCAGGUGAAUGGAUCCUGGAUCGACUUUGUGAUGUUCUAUCCUGUGCUUUGGAUUGCUGCCGUUCAAUCUCGUUGGUUUCCUCCUCUGGCUCAUGAGGGGAGUAAUGCCUGUCUGAACCCUCUGUUUUAGU
Mauremys reevesii (Reeves's turtle) is the source of this 590-nucleotide long non-coding RNA. RefSeq lists it as uncharacterized. The record is from RefSeq and is a predicted model, not a curated record. The transcript has 4 exons. Lineage: Eukaryota; Metazoa; Chordata; Testudines; Geoemydidae.